RNAcentral lists this long non-coding RNA (279 nucleotides) under Homo sapiens (human). RNAcentral describes it as "HSALNT0348546". The record is from RNAcentral. Lineage: Eukaryota; Metazoa; Chordata; Mammalia; Primates; Hominidae.
UUUUUUUGAGAUGGAGUCUUGCUCUGUCACCCAAGCUGGAGCACAGUGGCGCGAUGUCAGCUCACUGCAACCUCCGCCGCCAGGUUCAAGCAAUUUUCCUGCCUCAGCCUCCUGAAUAGUUAGGACUUGCGCACCAUCAUGUCCGGCUAAUUUUUUGUAUUUUUUAGUAGAGUUGGGGUUUCACCAUGCUGGCCAGGCUGGUCUUGAACUCCUGACCUUGGAUCUGCCCACUUUGGCCUCCCAAAAUGCUGGGAUUACAGGCAUAAGCCACUGCGCCUG